GUGCAUCUGUUCGUUUUGACUGCUACUUCCAACAUAUAUGUUCUUUAUUUCAAAGGACACACCUAUUAAACGGUUACCUCAAUUUCUAUAAAUUCUGGGAGAAUUCUCAUUUGCAAAACACAUUAAAAAAUAUUCUUCUCUCUUUCUCUUGGCAUCAUCAGUUCUUUUUCGAGUGUCUUCUUGGUUUGAUCAAAUAAUCACAAUUUGAAUCAAAUACCUCCAUUGUAUCCUAAGAGAGAUUUUCUAUCAUACCCCAGUUGUGACUUCGUUGGAUAGAGAAGAAACAUCUCUUAAAAGAUAACGUUUUUCGUGCCUUAGAGUUCAUUAAGUUUUCAAAUUUUCCUACAUUUUUCUUAUCAGAAAUUGGUGGGGAGACAAUGGAGUGGAGAGUGGAUUAUGGUCUUAGGUCUAUCAUCUAUGGACUAUGGAUUAAUGGAUUGGAGUCAUUGGAUCAUAUGGAUAUGGAUGAUGGAUUCUCGGCAUUGGGCUAGCAGGCUAGGAAUUAAUUGGAACCCCCAAAUGUUCAUGGAUAACCGUUUAAAAAAAAAAAAAAAAAAAAACUGUGGGGUCAUUUGACCCCACAUGACCCCAUGUGGGUCCGCCCCUGG
This 608-nucleotide long non-coding RNA is filed under the name Olea europaea subsp. europaea. Lineage: Eukaryota; Viridiplantae; Streptophyta; Magnoliopsida; Lamiales; Oleaceae. The record is from RNAcentral.